This 465-nucleotide long non-coding RNA is filed under the name Trifolium pratense (red clover). RNAcentral's name for it is "long non-coding RNA (TPRA_LNC013732)". The record is from RNAcentral. Lineage: Eukaryota; Viridiplantae; Streptophyta; Magnoliopsida; Fabales; Fabaceae.
CACUAUUUUCAUUCUGUUGCCUUUGGCCUUUGACCAUAGUUGUUUUAUCUAUCUGUCAAAAGUCAAAAUCACUAAUCUUCACCUCUCCUUCUUUCUCUCACUUUCACUGAGUAGAACCGUGUCAAAAUCACUCCGAUUCGGAAGAACCUUACCAAAAUCACUCUAAUUCGUAAUCCUUAUGUCUUCAUCAUAAUCGACUUUUCAACAAACAUGGGAUAGUCUUUCAAAAUAAAAUACAUGUGAUAGAAUUGCCGAAGCUUCUCAGAAAAAUCUCUGAUCUGAAGCUUGAAAUUGUUAAUCGCCGUCUUCAUUUUCAGUCAUCUUCGUGUUCCUUCUUCAUCAUUGUCUUUGUGUUCUGUCUCUGAGAAUUGCAAUUCCUCAAAUUGUGUAUCAGAAUCAAUGAAGAAGGGAACAACUCAGUGACUGGACUAAGGUUGUGGUGCAUGCAAUGCUAUUUUGGUUAGU